This is a non-coding RNA of Phalacrocorax carbo (great cormorant), 5750 nucleotides long. Lineage: Eukaryota; Metazoa; Chordata; Aves; Suliformes; Phalacrocoracidae. The record is from RefSeq and is a predicted model, not a curated record.
CAGGAUUAACUGCUCCAUCACCUUUCCAGGGAUGGAGGUGAGGCUGACUGGCCUAUAGUUUCCCAGGUCUUCCUUCUUGCCCUUUUUGAAGAUUGGAGUGACAUUUGCUUUUCUCCAGUCCUUGGGCACCCCUCCUGUCCUCCAUGACCUUUCAAAGAUGAUGGAGAAUGGCUCCGCAAGAAUAUCUGCCAGCUCCUUCAGCACUCACGGGUGCAUCCCAUCAGGUCCCAUGGAUUUCCAAGGUUCCAGUUUGCCUAGGGGAUCUCUGACCCAAUCCUCCUCAACCAAGGGGAAGUCCUCCUUUCUCCAGAUGUUCCCUCUCUCUCCUCUGGGGGCUGAGAUGCCUGAGGGCCAGCCUUAGCAAUAAAGACUGAAGCAAAGAAGGCAUUCAGUAACUCUGCCUUCUCUACAUCCUGCGUCACCAGGGCCCCUUCCUUGUUCAGCAGCGGGCCCCCUAUCAGGGAAUACAGAAGUCAAGCUAUAGAUUAAGUCCAACUUCUUUCACCAAUAUUAAAUUCACACAUAAACCUUUCCCCUCCGCUCAAAAUCAUGGUUCAAAACUAAAUGUCAAUCUCUUCAUUCACAUAUUUUUAAGAUAUAUCACACAGAACUUCCCAAAACUCAGCAUAUCAAGAUACUGAACUAAAUACUGGCCUCUAGCUGAUCGACAGUAUACCUGGGAAGGGCCAUACAGGAAGAAAUGGAAGCACUGGGUCCUACCUGCUAUAUUUGCUUAGGAUGCUAGUGGCCAUCAUCUUUAUAUGGCCACUGGAAUUAAUUUGGCUUGAAAAGGCAUGCACCAUGUUUCCUGCACACCCUUCUUCCCAGCAUGUCUGUAACGUCUGCUGCAGAAACAAAGUGAGCGUAAUUUGUUCUCAUACUUUUAAUGAAAGAAGAUAAAGAAGGACAUGACAAACAUGGAGUUACUUGCUGCAAAACUUAAACAGUAAUCUUUAAAGCAAUCCUAGAGUAAGGAACAAGAAAACAACCAAACAAAGCAGAAAGAGGAACAGCUUUCAACAGCAUAAGGAAAAAUGCUUCCCAUAUCAGCAGCAGUUGCCUAUACCGUAUUUAUAGCCAUUCCAGAAAAUGAAAUAAAAAUAUUGGAAAUUACUCUAACAGUUAAGGUUUUCUAAUACAUUAACUAAAACACAUAAAAAUGAAAUCCCAACUGCAUUUUUCUACAAAGGCUUUAUACAGUGACUUACAUUAAUUUUUCUGUGUAAGUUAUGAAAAUACUCAGUAGUCAAAAUACUGCCAUAGAAAUGGAAUAAGGCUAAAUUAAAAAAAAAAAAGUAUUUUUCAGCUUAUGUUCUAACCAAAGUGCUCACAGGGGAAGAGCUUUGCUACAUUUCCUUUCCCCCCAAAUAAGGUUCUUUAUAAAACAAGGCAAAAAGUGAGGAAAAAAUGGUUACAUUCAAAAAGCUAUAUUUUAUUGUUAUGGCAACUGAUGUGCUAAAAAUAAAGAAAUAAAGUUGUUAUGGCAACUAGAAUUUUAAAGGCAGUCAAAAGUAGAAUAAUCAAACAUUCUGCUGGCUUAAAAUAUAAUGUCUAUGACUCAAUUUUCAGAAAGAGCUUCAGAGACAAGUAGUGGUUGGGUUUUUUUGGAUUCUGCUCUGGAGAUCACAAUUAGUACAAGUUUCAGAGAACUCUACUGAGUACAAGGGAGGAAAUCAAGGUGAACAGAAAAUCAGUCAUUUGAAGUUCUCAUGGUCAGUAGGAAGAAACACACAUAACCUUACAGCCCUUAAUUAAUGUCCUGGUGAUCUUACCUAGAUCCAUAAAAUGUAUCAGCUUAUUAUUAAAAUAAACAGCAAUAGGACAGUAUUUAUGUCAGUCAUCACAACAACUGAAAGGCACUAUGUAACUAGAAGUUACUUAAUGGUUUUAAAUUAAGUACUGAAAAGUUAGGGAAUACCAAAAUUCAUCUGUCUGAAGCAGCAGAGUUCUUCCCCUUUAUAUGUAUGGAAUUAUAAAGACGACUAUAAUUACAAGAUCGUAACAUAUUUACAUUUCUGAUACAUGCUUGAUCAUCAUUACAGGGCUCCUAGCUAUACAAGCACUUCCACAAAAAUCUUAGCGCGCUCACUCACUGUCUCCCAUCCAACACUUGUCAGAUAGUCAACAUUGCUACCUUUGUUAAAAAAUAAACAGAACUAUGCACUGUGAAACAUUCCAAAGCGCGUACUCAGAUCAGACUUAAUUAAUACUAAGCAAAGUAAUUUAACAGAUACUUCAGAGAAUUAUGACUAGAAACAGUAACUUAUACUGGAAAUAUUUGCACUGGAACUAUGUACGUAGCAUGUGCUAGAAUCCCAGUGUAAGCUAAUAUUUUAACAUAGUAUGUGCCUUGUAUUUUGGCUUCACUGCAGUUAAUCAAGGUUCCUCCUAGUGCUACUCUGAACUCUUUUUCCAACCCAUAGGAAAAGCCUCUCAGCCCAGUCCACAAGAGCUUUCAGCACACAGGAGUAGCAUGGCCAAGAAUACAGAUCAAAGUCAGGUUCCUCCUUCACUUGUACUAAAGGGAAAAGAAUCAGAUUAACUCCUUAUUGCAACACAAAAAUCGAGAGAUGUACACUGCAGAUUCAAACCCACACAAGGGAGUGCAGCAAGGAUAACACAGACAAAUUUAAGUAUAUUUUUAUAGUUUUGCUUCCCAGCCUCAGUAUUAACCCUUAAGGCUACAUCCACACUUAACUCAUUUCCUCUUAAGCAUCACAUAAAGCAACAGGUAUUUUACCUGGAGAUGCAAAUAAUGUAGAAAAAUACAUUAACUAAUGGAUCUAUGACAAAGUCAACAGCUUCUGCAAAGGAAACUCCAUGUACAACAGUCACUAUACAUAACUUUUUACCAGACAGGAAAAAUCUUAAGACAUAUGAAUAUCAAGGCUUUAAAUCAAAGUUUUAGAAAUAUUCUGUCUAAGGCUUAAGCUAGGGGAGCCAGGCUGCAUAUUUUCAAGGUUUGUUGCUGACUCAACCAGCUACUGAAGACAAAAGACACGCUGUCCUGAGCUUGCUAUGAAAUUAGUUUCCUCAUUGUAUAAUAUUCUAAACUUAAUCAAGUGCACGGUUGCCUGAAAUGUAAGUCUUCGAGUUCAAAAUAAAAUAUACAGCAGUCCAAGUAUCACUACAGUAUUAACUGACGGCUAUGUAAAUCUAUUGCUCUCAUUCAGUAUCCGGGGGUCACGUAUCUUGUUGUAUCAGGUAUAGCCAUGCUGCACUGAAUAUAUAGAAAUAUAUAUAUGAAAACAUAUAUAAAAGCAUCUCAAAAGGAUAUUUAUUGUAACAUUUUCAGGUGCAUUUUAUCUCUAACAUGUUUUUCUGUAUUUUCAAUUUUCCAUAAAAGAAUUUGAGAGCAAACAUCUUCAUAGAAGGGUAAAGGAAAUCCUGGAAGGUAUGACAACAAAGUCCAAAAAUGCUUUCUGAAGUGACAUUUACAAAUUCAGGAAAGAAAGGUGGCAUCAUUCCAAAAGGUUUGUAAAAGAACUGUUAAGAUCGAUGCAAUGACCAGCCAGCUGGAGACCCGCAUGUCACCUCUGCCAACAGGAACACAGGCUGGAAAUUACAAACCCACCCGCAAUGAGGAAACAGAGAUGAAGAGCAGCAGCACUGUCUAAGAUUACGCAGGCCAAAGCCAGCAAGCUUCUGAGGGAAAAGACCAUACCAUGAGAGCUGUUUGACUCUAAUGAGUACCAAAAACUUGUCAAAAAACCCAGUUUGUUGUCACUAACCAAGAGAAACCCAAGAGAUGUAGGGACAAUGCUGUAGUCAGCGUACCCUGUCCUCCACGUCACAUACAAUUGAACCUGGCCAUGGCAGCUGAACACCUACACCGUGGGGCUUGUGACUACAUGGACAGGAGAAAAUGAAUGUGUAACAUGACUCCCUCAGUGUAUGCGACUGCUUCCAUCUGCCAUAAUUUACUGUUCUUUUCAGCAAACAAGCACUAAAGUUUAAUUUUGUAUCUGGGCCUGCAAAACUUGUUGACCUGAAAGGCCUGCAGAAAUCUGAAACCUCAACUUUAAUUUUUUCCUUUUUGCUUUAUAAUGAGAGGAUCUGUCAUGUAGGAAUCAGAAAUAAUAAUACUGGUCCAAACAGAAUGCAUAAACUACAUAUGUUAGCUCUAAAUUGAUUAGAUUUCAUCCAGCCCAACAAACAACGCAGUUGCUCCAUCUACUGCAGCAAUGGGAUGUACUUUCAUGUAAUUGGUCUGUACUGCAUGAUAAUUAGACCUCUGUGUCCUUUGUGCCAAUUCCAAAUUAUUAUAUAACUGACAAAUUUUUUUCAUGAUAUGGCAAUAUUUAAUCCCCAAAUCAAUGCCUCUCAUAUUUGCUUCAGACUUUGGAAGAAUUCUUAGGAUUUUCACUCUUCUGUAGAGUGGCUUGAAAUGUUAUUGGCCCAGAUGCAAAACACUAUUAGACAGUCAGCAGACAAAGCUAUUUUUUGGCCAACUCUUCUGAAGCCUGACCCUUUAAUUAGUUAUUAUCUCUAACUGUUCUGGGCACAUGCUCAUAUUGCCAAAGGAAAUUAUGACAAUAAACAAAUAAUCUUAUUUUUGGUUUUCUUACAAGUCAUUUGGAAGGACAGCCAUUUAGUCUUCUUUAAGACCUUCAACUCAAAGUCACCAUCCAUCUCAAAAUGGGCAAAUUCAUAUGCAAACUUCUGUUGCUUUUGAGUAACAUACUACCAACAUCUACUUUUUCUGAAACCAGGUUUCUUUUUCUGAUCAUACUUUAAAAAAUAGCAACAACAAAACAAAUUGUUUUCUUAAACCAGAGCAGCAGCAGCAUUUAAAAGUAGCUGUUAGAUGAACUUCAUACACACAGCUCAUCUCUUAAAGGAAAUCAGACUGUAAACCGAGAGUCUCUUAUACAGAAAUGAUACAUUUAACAAUCAUAAAUCCUGCCUUAAAAUGGUUUGUCCAAAAGUUUUUCAAACUACAGAAAGUGGAUGUCUGCCUUAUUUUUCUGCUUUAUUUUACUUAUGCAACUACAUACAACCUGGAGAGGUGUUACUUUCUAAACUCAGGAGAAAGGACUUGAGCAUAGGUAACCAGUAACAGCACUACAAAACAGGCACCCAGUCCAUAACACUGAAAAGGAUGGAAAGAAGCCUUGCCCUGCAAAUUCAGCAGUGGGAACACAUACAAGAAUAAAACCACCUAAAACACAAAAGCAAAAUGUUAGUAAUAAGCAGCAUAAGGUGUAAUAAAUAAAACAUCUGUCCCAAUUCAGAUGCUACAAGUGUUCUACAGUAAGUUGCUUUAUGACUGGCAUCAAGUGACAGCAGAUUUCUAACGAUGUGCACAUCGACAGUGCCUGACACCUCUUCCGAAAGGGACAGUGUGAAGUAAGGGCAGCAGAGUGGGGCAAGGUAGAGUAUAACUAUUGCUGAAGACGAUUACCAGUCACCUCAACUAUCAAUAGGGUAAACUGUGGCUUGCCACUGGACCAUAUAUCGGAGCUCAAAAUAUAUCUUGUCAUGGGAAAAAUUCAUCCGAGACUCUUGAGAUGAACCAGCAAGGCUGAACAUGAAAUAAUGUCAAGUAGGCAGGAGAAAACAAUCAAUGAAGUGACCCUAGCUUAUGCAUGGUUUUCUACUUAACAAACGGAUAUGAUACACUUUUACAAAAGCUCUGUGGACAAGUACCAGUAUUACACCUUCAUUAUCAUCACACAAGCAGAUUUUUCUCACUUUGAUUUGUGUUUUCCUUAAAAUAAAUAAAUAACAAAUAAAUAUUUUAAAAUAUG